RNAcentral lists this long non-coding RNA (742 nucleotides) under Arabidopsis lyrata. RNAcentral's name for it is "long non-coding RNA (ALYR_LNC003402)". The record is from RNAcentral. Lineage: Eukaryota; Viridiplantae; Streptophyta; Magnoliopsida; Brassicales; Brassicaceae.
CAAAUUUAUCGUCCAUAACCACCCCAAGCCAGAGAACAAUGAUGGAGUUACUCCAAGAUAAUCAAUGUUAUUGCUUCCCCUGCAAUGAUCCUAACACAUUCCCCAUUCCCUUCGUCCGCAUGUAUGUCCUGUUUUACGAAAAUAUCAAACAACUUUUCUUGUGGUAAUUCCGUGAAAUUCAGGAGGAUCCAAAAAUACAUUUCACAUAUGUAAUUGGUUCCAAAUCUAAAUGCAUAAACUGAAGCCGCGAGAAAAGUAAAUUCAUUACUUUGGAUUUCAUAAAAAGGAGUCCGCAAAACAACAAUCAUGGGUGGUUAUCCAGAAAAAGUAACGCGCCUUCCAAUUUUAAUUUAAUAGCGUCCAACACCUCACACAUAUUGUAGGUAAGGUGAGUCACAUAGACGGCUUCUUUUCUUUCUUUUCUUGAUUACCCACACAAACAGAUUCUAUUUACAAAUAGACCAAGUGAGAAAACAUAUUUCCUAAAGAAUUUUGGUAUUCGAAGUUUGAAAAGAUAGGAAUUACCAGAUACCAAUAUAUUUUAUGUCGCGAAUCUUGAGGGUGUUGCAACAACAACAUUCUCCUUUUUUCCCAAAUUUAAUUUCAAUUUAGGCCGAGAGCAGGUAAAUCUAGUUGGAAAAGAGGUAGAAUGUAAUCACUUACGUUUGACGUGAUGAAGAACAAUCGGGAUAAGAAGGGUACAAAGCUGAUUUUGAGGAAAUGGUGAAUUUUGAACAUCAUC